This 938-nucleotide long non-coding RNA is filed under the name Homo sapiens (human). RNAcentral's name for it is "HSALNT0198312". The stretch from base 254 to 563 matches the Rfam family "Metazoan signal recognition particle RNA". The record is from RNAcentral. Lineage: Eukaryota; Metazoa; Chordata; Mammalia; Primates; Hominidae.
GAGACACUAACAAACUGAAGGGGCGAUUGGGAUAUGAAUCAAGACACUCACUUAGAAGACAGAGAUGGAGAUUUUAUUCUGAGGUCAAUCUUUAUAACAAGAAACAGAAUCAGGCUGGGCAGGGUGGCUCAUGUCUGUAAUCCCAACGCUUUGGGAGGCUGAGGCAGGAGGAUUGCUUGAGCCCAGGAGUUCAUGACAAGCCUAGGUAACACAAUGAGAUCCUGUCUGUACAAACAAUAAAAAUAAAAAAUUAUCCAGGUGUGGUGGUGUGUGCCUCUAGUCCCAGCUACUCAGGGGGCUGAGGCAGGAGGAUUUCUUGGGCUCAGUGGUUCUGGGCUGUAGGGUGCUAUGCCAAUGGAUGGGGUGUCUGUGAUAAGUUCCACAUCAAGAUAGUGACCUUCUGGAAUCAGGAGACCACUAGAUUGCCUAAGGAGGGGUGAGCCAGCCCAGGUCAGGAAGGGAACAGGUCAGAACUCCCACACUGGUCAGCAGAUCAGUAGAGGGAUCUGUGUAUAGCCACUGCCCUCCUCCAGCCUGGGCAAAAUAGGAAGACUCUGUCUCUAUCAUAAAAAAUAAAUAAAAGACCAAAGGGGGGUGGUAGAGGAAGUCCUCCAUUUGGUCUCUUAGGCCAGGAUGGGGUAGGGCUGGAGGGAAAGACCAUCUGAGUCUCUGACUGUACCUGAUGUGGCUCACAGAGGACUUUCCUACCUCUUUGGUUCUUUAGGGAGUUCUGACUCAGGAUUUCUUAGCAAUGGCCAAUUCUUCUACAUACAAAUCUGUUUCUUUCUUUUCCUUUCCAUGCCCCAUCUUUGGACAUCCAGUCAUGAAAGGGAGGCCAGUAGAUUUAUCAGUUUAUAGAUAGGAAAAGAAAACAUGUGGCUUUGGGUAUAAGUGCACUUAAGAAGUCGUAUUUGGCCGGGCGCGGUGGCUCACGCCUG